Bos taurus (domestic cattle) is the source of this 977-nucleotide long non-coding RNA. The record is from Ensembl. Lineage: Eukaryota; Metazoa; Chordata; Mammalia; Artiodactyla; Bovidae.
GGCAGGCCCAGGGGAGGGAGAGUGAGGAGGGUGAGGCUGAAUUUGGCCGACGCAAAGGGGUCUGGAGAGAACAGACAGUUCAUGGGCACUUCCUCCUAGGCUGAGGAGAGACACCUCCAGGAGAAUACCAGGAAAAUGAGAAAGCAGAUGUCUGUGUCUUUCUCAAGGUGAGGGGUGAAAUUCCUGGCCUGCUGUGUUAGAGACCAAAUCGGAGGGCAUGAAGAUGCAGAUGCCACUCCCAGGCUCCUGGAUUCCUUUGGAACCUUCUCCACUUUCUCUCUCCACCCUCACAGCCUGGACUCAGAGGAGAUCCACCCAGACCUUUCCUCCAGUCUGAAGCUCACCUCCUGGACAGCAGCUGCCAGCCUGGCAUCUUCCACCUUUAUUGUUCUCCCUCCUUGGGCCGCUCAAUUGAAGGAAGAUAGGACCAGGAUGGGUCGAAGCAUUGCUUUGCUCCUAACUUGCUUUCUGCUCUCAAACCCAAACUUGCUUUCCUCCAGGCCCUAUUCACUUCCCUGUCUUAGACCUUAGGGAAACCUACCCUCUUUGUCAAUUUAGGGUUGCAUUGCUGGCUGAAAGUUUGGGAAGUCACGUUAAACAUUCCUCUCUGGUUCUGCAGGGAUCCACAGGAAGGUGGGGGAUUAGGCUGCCAUCUCCAAUCUUUUCCUGGAUUCUCCUCCAGCCUGCCCUCAAUCACAGACCCUGCUUGUUGUGCUCUGUGGUUGAGUGGGGGGGAUCAGGUAGCCACUUCCCUGGGGAAGUCUCAGGAAGCCUCCUCCAGUGGGCUCCAGGAUUCCUGCCUCAGCCCUCUUUCUUCCACUGCUUCGCAUCCUGGCCCUCUCAGCCCUGCCAGGCGCCUCACAGAAACCCUUUCCAACCCUCCUCAACCUCUCCUUCCUCAGCCCCACCCCUUUUCUAUCUUCAUUCUUCCUAUUCCCUUUUUCUUUUUCAGCAGCAUCUCUGCCAGUCAUUUGCCC